RNAcentral lists this ribosomal RNA (253 nucleotides) under uncultured bacterium. RNAcentral's name for it is "partial 16S ribosomal RNA". It matches the Rfam family "Bacterial small subunit ribosomal RNA", at positions 524 to 776 of the family's 1533-position model. The record is from RNAcentral.
UACAGAGGGGGCAAGCGUUAUUCGGAAUUAUUGGGCGUAAAGGGCGCGUAGGCGGCUUGGCAAGUGGAUGGUGAAAUCCCUCGGCUUAACCGAGGAACUGCCGUCCAAACUGCUUGGCUUGAGACCGGGAGAGGUGAGUGGAAUUCCCAGUGUAGCGGUGAAAUGCGUAGAUAUUGGGAGGAACACCAGUGGCGAAGGCGGCUCACUGGACCGGUACUGACGCUGAUGCGCGAAAGCGUGGGGAGCAAACGGG